AGAGACUUAGGAUAGCACAAAACCGAAGGCCUUCAAAGCCCUAAACGGGAGUGAAAAUCUCCCAGUCCCUG
RNAcentral lists this transfer RNA (71 nucleotides) under Carangoides equula (whitefin trevally). RNAcentral describes it as "tRNA-Trp". It matches the Rfam family "tRNA". From Rfam's summary of the family: Transfer RNA (tRNA) molecules are approximately 80 nucleotides in length. Their secondary structure includes four short double-helical elements and three loops (D, anti-codon, and T loops). The record is from RNAcentral. Lineage: Eukaryota; Metazoa; Chordata; Actinopteri; Carangiformes; Carangidae.